GUGGGGAAUCUUGCGCAAUGGGCGAAAGCCUGACGCAGCCAUGCCGCGUGAAUGAUGAAGGUCUUAGGAUUGUAAAAUUCUUUCACCGGGGACGAUAAUGACGGUACCCGGAGAAGAAGCCCCGGCUAACUUCGUGCCAGCAGCCGCGGUAAUACGAAGGGGGCUAGCGUUGCUCGGAAUUACUGGGCGUAAAGGGCGCGUAGGCGGACAGUUUAGUCAGAGGUGAAAGCCCAGGGCUCAACCUUGGAAUUGCCUUUGAUACUGGCUGUCUUGAGUUUGGGAGAGGUGAGUGGAACUCCGAGUGUAGAGGUGAAAUUCGUAGAUAUUCGGAAGAACACCAGUGGCGAAGGCGACUCACUGGCCCAAUACUGACGCUGAGGCGCGAAAGCGUGGGGAGCAAACAGGAUUAGAUACCCGAGUAGUCC
This 425-nucleotide ribosomal RNA is filed under the name uncultured bacterium. RNAcentral describes it as "partial 16S ribosomal RNA". It matches the Rfam family "Bacterial small subunit ribosomal RNA", at positions 354 to 796 of the family's 1533-position model. The record is from RNAcentral.